AAACGCAAAGGUAUCGCGGCACACGCAACAGCAAGCAGCAGUUACCUCUGUAACCGCUCGGAGUUUCCCCGCGAAUGCAAGAGGAACCCGACGUCUCGAGCAGAAUGAAUGGUUAUCAAGGCGCCAGAAACAGCGCUAGAGCGAAGGAAGCUGUUAAAAGAUGCAGUGUUGGGACUCUUUUAACCUAGCCUGGUUCUUCUGGUGACUUGGCAGAGCUCAACCACGGAAGUCAGACCACUAUGGGCCGAAGAUGACUGAUAAAGGUUCAGACAUGAAGGAGACAACGUCUUGUCUGUGGCAUCUCACCAUUAGAAGAGCUUUCAGUGUGUCGCGAGUUUCCAAAGUUGGUUCAGCAGAUACACUGGAUGAGGUGGGAGGCCAAAUCACUCCUGGCGACUGACCCUGUCCUGCACCACUGUAAAGAAUAGAGAGGUGGGAUGCACCCGCCCGCUACUCCACGGUGACCUCUGCGCACACUGUCAAGUCGACUCACCAUCAGGCCACCGUUUGCCUCAGUGAACAUUCAACGCUGUCGGUGAGUUUGAGCUAAAUAGAAAAAAACCAUCGACCGUUGAUUGUACCCUGCGACCGAGCCCUACCGAGCCUUGCCUCUCCCCACCGCCGGCAAAGACGAAUUUUAGCAUGGACUCCUGGAGACGCGACGGUUUUGUCUUCCAACACUACUGGCAGCCUCGUACGAUGCCUGAAAAGUUUGACCUUGAAAACUACAACAAAGGUCACAAUCAACAUUCAUUGCUGUCGGUGGGUUGGACUGUUAAAGAAAGCUCACUGAACAAUGAAUGCAACUGUGUCCCAGAUUUCCUUCUCGCAGUGGCAUCGGAUAUAAAUAUUAACUGACAGAGCUGGAUAUACUCAUUUGCUCAUCUGAGUUUGUUUGUGGCUCUUCGUGGCAAAGACACCACGGGACUGCGAACACCAUGUCAAAGGCCCCUUUAAGGCCAAUGAAUGUUUCCUUUGUAUAAUAAAUAAAGACAAGACCUUUCCAAACCCUGUCCAAGCCUGUGAGUCUAAAACUUAUUAACCUUAAUAAUGUGGUAUAGAUGUUGGCACAUGUGUUGUGCUGUGGUACUUAAGCGGACUAUGCAGGUUGGAUUCUGGCAUAGUCCGUGAUUCUU
Sinocyclocheilus rhinocerous is the source of this 1136-nucleotide long non-coding RNA. RefSeq lists it as uncharacterized. NCBI's taxonomy places the organism in Eukaryota, Metazoa, Chordata, Actinopteri, Cypriniformes, Cyprinidae. The record is from RefSeq and is a predicted model, not a curated record. The transcript is spliced from 5 exons.